Molecule: ribosomal RNA, 1251 nt
Filed under: Triticum aestivum (bread wheat)
Lineage: Eukaryota; Viridiplantae; Streptophyta; Magnoliopsida; Poales; Poaceae
Description: partial small subunit ribosomal RNA
Source: RNAcentral
GUGAAAUCUAUUUUUUCUCUGCACGUGGCAGGAUUUGCUACGGCUUACCGGCCCAGUUACCCAAAGGGCGCCUAGGUUCUCCUGGUUGGCCAGCAGUGCUUCUGUUCCGAACCCCGAACCCCGCCGCCGCCGCCCUCCUCCUCCGUCAGCCUCGCCCCGGAGCAGCGCGUCGUUGGCGGCGGAGGCCGUGUAAACCCAUAAAGUUCUGUUUUAAGCGCACAUCGAACUUUAUGGACAUAUCUCAGGAGCAACAACAAGAUUUUGGUGUGCUACUAAAGCAGGGGGCUGAAGGAAGGGUAUUUGUUUCUACAUUUGUUGGACGAAAAUGCGUAAUCAAAGAGCGCUUUUCAAAGAAGUACCGUCACCCAUUGCUGGACUCAAAGCUGACUCUAAAACGCUUAAAUGCUGAAGCUAGAUGCAUGACAAAAGCGAGGCGGCUUGGUGUUCCUACACCAGUUCUGUAUGCUGUGGACCCUCUUCAACAUACAUUAACCUUUGAGUAUGUGGAUGGCUUGUGCGUCAAAGAUAUUCUUCUUGGAUUUGGGUCAAAUGGGAUAAAUGAAGAACGUCUUAAUGACAUUGCCACACAGAUAGGUAAUGCAGUUGGCAAACUACACGAUGGAGGUCUUGUCCAUGGUGAUUUGACAACUUCAAAUAUGAUGAUCAAGAACAGCACCAAUCAACUGGUUCUUAUUGAUUUUGGUCUGAGCUUUACAUCAACUAUUCCCGAGGACAAGGCAGUGGACCUAUAUGUUCUUGAGAGAGCCUUGAUUUCCAUGCAUUCUUCAUGUGGGGAUGUGAUGGAGAAGAUCCUUGCAGCGUACCGAAAAGCUUCAAGGCAGUGGUGUGCCACUACGAACAAGCUAGCUCAAGUCAGGCAGCGGGGCAGAAAACGAACAAUGGUUGGGUAAAACUUGACCCGGAGUUGCUGAAUGCGACGAAUUGAACCUGCAUUACCAUCCAUUGUGUGUGUUAGUUUGCAUGUAGCGGUUCAGCGGAAUUGGCUCUUGCAGAAUUGAAAUGGAUGUCAACGUGUCAAGUGAAUCAUUUGUAACACUGCUUGUUGUACUUCCGUUAGGAAUCAUAUAUCUCCCAACUCUUUAACUUGUGAGUUUUGGAUGAUCGUUGUGCAUCUUUGUGAACCUGUACGUUUACUUUGUUGCGGUGCAUCUGGUUGAAAUGUGAAUUGAUGUAAUUUACUGAAAUUACAACCAUGUGUGUUCUCCGCAUUAGCAGAAGUUUGAACGAAAC